ACUAACCAGGUUUCCCUAGUAACGGCGAGCGAACCGGAAAGAGCCCAGCUUGAAAAUCGGGGUCCUCCCGGACCCCGAAUUGUAGUCUGGAGACGCAUCCUCUGCAACGCACCGGGCCCAAGUUCCCUGGAAAGGGACGCCUGAGAGGGUAAGAGCCCCGUCGAGUCUGGACCGUGUUGCUCCACGAGGUGUGGUCGUCGAGUCGGGCUGUUUGGGAAUGCAGCCCUAAGUGGGUGGUAAAUUCCAUCCAAGGCUAAAUAUUGGCAAGAGACCGAUAGCGAACAAGUACCGCGAGGGAAAGAUGAAAAGGACUUUGAAAAGAGAGUUAAAGAGUGCUUGAAAUUGCUGGGAGGGAAGCGAAUGGAAGCUACGGGUGUGCCCCGGUUGGAUGCGGAACGGCUCGCGCUGGUCCGCCGCUCAACGCGGGGCACUGGUCAGCGUGGGCUGCCGCGGCGGGACAAGAGCGGGGUGUAGCUCCCCGUCCAUGCCGUUGCGGCGGCCGAGGGACGAAGCGCGCGGGGGGCUCGCCCCCCGUGGGUCCCCCUCCCUCGUGGGGGGGGUUCCAACUGCGCGCUCGGGACGCUGGCGUAUUGGGCUCUCCAUCCGACCCGUCUUGAAACACGGACCAAGGAGUCUAACAUGUAUGCGAGCCGGUGGGCGGCAAACCCAUUGAGGCGCAAGGAAACUGACAGGUGGGACCCCCCCGACCGGGGGAGCACCAUCGACCGACCGUGAUCUUCUGUGAAAGGUUCGAGUGUGAGCAUACCUGUUGGGACCCGAAAGAUGGUGAACUAUGCCUGAGCAGGGCGAAGCCAGAGGAAACUCUGGUGGAGGCUCGUAGCGAUACUGACGUGCAAAUCGUUCGUCAGACUUGGGUAUAGGGGCGAAAGACUAAUCGAACCAUCUAGUAGCUGGUUCCCUCCGAAGUUUCCCUCAGGAUAGCUGGAGCUCGUGGCAAGAGUUUUAUCAGGUAAAGCGAAUGAUUAGAGGCAUCGGGGGUGUAACACCCUCGACCUAUUCUCAAACUUUAAAUAGGUAAGCCGCCGGGGUUGCUUGGUUGAACCCCGGCACUGAAUCAGAGAUCC
RNAcentral lists this ribosomal RNA (1085 nucleotides) under Splachnobryum obtusum. RNAcentral describes it as "eukaryotic LSU rRNA". It matches the Rfam family "Eukaryotic large subunit ribosomal RNA", at positions 64 to 1123 of the family's 3401-position model. The record is from RNAcentral. Lineage: Eukaryota; Viridiplantae; Streptophyta; Bryopsida; Pottiales; Pottiaceae.